GUCGCCCGGGGUUGCCGCAAGGCCUCCCGGGUAACCUACCACCCUUUGUUUAUUACACUUUGUUGCUUUGGCAAGCCUGCCCUCGGGCUGCUGGCUCCGGCCGGCGAGCGCUUGCCAGAGGACCUAAACUCUGUUUGUCUAUACUGUCUGAGUACUAUAUAAUAGUUAAAACUUUCAACAACGGAUCUCUUGGUUCUGGCAUCGAUGAAGAACGCAGCGAAAUGCGAUAAGUAAUGUGAAUUGCAGAAUUCAGUGAAUCAUCGAAUCUUUGAACGCACAUUGCGCCCCCUGGUAUUCCGGGGGGCAUGCCUGUCCGAGCGUCAUUACAACCCUCAAGCUCAGCUUGGUGUUGGGCCCCGCCGCCCCGGCGGGCCCUAAAGUCAGUGGCGGUGCCGUCCGGCUCCGAGCGUAGUAAUUCUUCUCGCUCUGGAGGUCCGGUCGUGUGCUCGCCAGCAACCCCCAAUUUUUUUCAGGUUGACCUCGGAUCAGGUAGGGAUACCCGCUGAACUUAAGCAUAUCAAUAA
This 524-nucleotide ribosomal RNA is filed under the name Onygenales sp. TGF2-MRL. RNAcentral describes it as "eukaryotic LSU rRNA". The stretch from base 170 to 323 matches the Rfam family "5.8S ribosomal RNA". Lineage: Eukaryota; Fungi; Ascomycota; Eurotiomycetes; Onygenales. The record is from RNAcentral.